CUCAAGGACCAUAGAAUGAGAGAGAGAACAUUUUUUGUUCACAUAGACGCUGAAUAUACGUAUAAAUGUCAGAAAAUUCAAAUUUUUUAUGUCCAAAUAGAAAUGUCCCGGACUGUAAACGCGUGUUGGACCGAUUUCUACAACCAGGCCGUGCCAACCGAUAUUUGGUGGCACUUUUCCAUUUCUUUGACGUUCAUGUGGGCGUUUUUACUCAGUCUCUACACUGAUGUGAGACGAAAGGAUUUUUUUAUAAUGUUGGUACACCACAUUUCCGUCAUUGUUUUCACCUGUUUGUGCUGGAAUGCCAACUUUUUUCGCAUGUUUAGUCUCGGAUUGGUCUUGCACGACUGCUGCGAUAUUUUCCUAGAGGGCGCCAAAAUCGCAAGGUAUUUGAAAUAUGAAAGGGUUUUCCACGCGCUUUUUGGUAUUUUUACCAUGGUUUGGGUGGUCACAAGAUUGGGGCUUUUCCCCUUUUGGAUAAUAAAAAAUGUUGUUGUGGACGUCCCAGAAAUUAUGCCCAACUUUACUUCUUUCGCCAUGUAUUACAUAUUUGUAGCUUUUUUAUUUCUUUUCCUCACACUUGACUUUAUUUGGACGUACUAUAUAUUCAAAAUGGCGGCGUCUUUGCUCACUCGAGGGCACUUAAAGGGAGAUGCAAGAUCAGACGAUGAAAAAUAACUUUAUAAUAAUUACGA
Molecule: long non-coding RNA, 695 nt
Organism: Tribolium castaneum (red flour beetle)
Lineage: Eukaryota; Metazoa; Arthropoda; Insecta; Coleoptera; Tenebrionidae
Exons: 4
Source: RefSeq, a predicted model, not a curated record